Molecule: long non-coding RNA, 1130 nt
Organism: Papaver somniferum (opium poppy)
Lineage: Eukaryota; Viridiplantae; Streptophyta; Magnoliopsida; Ranunculales; Papaveraceae
Exons: 2
Source: RefSeq, a predicted model, not a curated record
CCCAAAAUCACACAGCAAAACCCAACCCCUUUCUGCUUUCUCCUUAGUCUCCAAAUCAAACUCGCAGAGAAAUCGACCCCAAAAUUAAAGAAUUUCUUGAGGAUUUCAAUUGAGUCUUUAAACCCAAUCCAAAUUCAAUUGUCCCCAGAUCGAACCAGUUCUUCAAACUUUCCACACCACACCACCACCACCAUCCUCCUCCACCAAUCUAAUUCUGCUUCUCUUCGAUAUUCUCUGAACUGUUGGUGUUUGAUCACGUUGGUGCCUGAUGUGUUUAUGUGCCUAAAGAAGCGAAGCAGAAGCUCAAACUUGGAUCUCAAUGUAAGCAUUGUGUUUGUCAUUUUUGACUCCUUAACUGCAUUCCCCUAUCAAACAUAGAUAUAUAUGUAGGAUAAAAGUCAAUUUUGCAUAGUAAGUGAUAUGCUGAACUUUUGAGAUUUGAGUGAUCAUUUAGCUUGAAACAACUAAAGAUGUCAUACUUUGUUUGUACAUGCUCAAGUCGAUACUUAUAAUGCUGUUGCGCAUAAUUUAGUAAUGUUGCUAUUGUGUAAGAAUGUCAUAAUUUUUUCGUACACGCUCAAGUCGAUAUUUACCAUGGUGAAGGAUAAUUUAGCAAUGUUGUUGCACAUAAUUUAGUUAGAUGUUGUUGUUAUGUAAGAUUGUUGCUCACAGAAAUUUAAUUCUCUUUCUACGUCUUCACGAGACUAUUGUAAAUUUGAUAUAAUCAAGGGACAAAUAAAUCAGGAUUCUCAGUCAGCUCUCUUUUUCAAACUCAAGCGAACGCUAUCGGACAUCGAUCACUUUCCUUCUCAGCAGACUUAAAGCCAAGAAAUUUGAUCUACUGAAAAGAAGAAACAUCCAUCUCUUACUCACACCAAUAUAAGGGAAGAAGAAUAAUAAUUUGUAAUUAGAACUUAUUUUGAAGCUACAGAAACUAUAUACUGAUGGUUAUGCAUUCUUCUUUCUCAAUCCUAGACAAUUAGGUUAGUGGUGCAAUUAUGUAUGAGUUUCAGACGUUAGUGGUAAUGUAUUAGUAAUGCAUAAACAAAAAAGCUCAUGUUGUGUAAAUGAAUGGCAUUGACCGAAAAAUUGUUAAUCGAAAAGUUCAAUGUAUUUUAUUUUUAACAGAA